UACAGAGGUCCCAAGCGUUGUUCGGAUUCACUGGGCGUAAAGGGUGCGUAGGUGGUCGGGUAAGUUUAAGGUGAAAGCUCCGGGCUCAACCCGGAAAUGGCCUUGAAUACUAUCCGGCUCGAGGGUUGGAAGGGGGACUGGAAUUCUCGGUGUAGCAGUGAAAUGCGUAGAUAUCGAGAGGAACAUCAGUGGCGAAGGCGAGUCCCUGGACAACACCUGACGCUGAGGCGCGAAAGCUAGGGGAGCGAACGGG
RNAcentral lists this ribosomal RNA (253 nucleotides) under uncultured bacterium. Its description in RNAcentral is "partial 16S ribosomal RNA". It matches the Rfam family "Bacterial small subunit ribosomal RNA", at positions 524 to 776 of the family's 1533-position model. The record is from RNAcentral.